This 406-nucleotide ribosomal RNA is filed under the name uncultured bacterium. RNAcentral's name for it is "partial 16S ribosomal RNA". It matches the Rfam family "Bacterial small subunit ribosomal RNA", at positions 30 to 526 of the family's 1533-position model. The record is from RNAcentral.
AUUGCACGCUGGCGGCAGGCCUAACACCUGCAUGUCGAACGAGUGGCGGACGGGUGAGUAAUGUCUGGGAAACUGCCUGAUGGCAGGGGAUAACUACUGUAAACGGUAGCUAAUACCACAUACCAUCGACUGUGCCCAGAUGGGAUUCGCUAGGCGGUGGGGUAAAGGCUCACCUAGGCGACGAUACCUAGCUGGUCUGAGAGGGUGACCAGCCAAAAUGGAACUGAGACACGGUUCAGACUCCGACGGGAGGCAGCAGUGGGGAAGAUUGCACAAUGGGCGCAAGCCUGAUGCAGCAAUGCCGCGUGUAUGAAGAAGGCCUUCGGGUUGUAAAGUACUUUCAGCGGGGAGGCGUUACCCGGAGAAGAAGCACCGGCUAAGUUCGCGACAGCAGCCGCGGUAAUAC